AGUUUGAUCAUGGCUCAGAUUGAACGCUGGCGGCAUGCCUUACACAUGCAAGUCGAACGGCAGCACGGGAGCUUGCUCCUGGUGGCGAGUGGCGAACGGGUGAGUAAUGCAUCGGAACGUGCCCUGAAGUGGGGAUAACGUAGCGAAAGUUACGCUAAUACCGCAUAUUCUGUGAGCAGGAAAGCAGGGGAUCUUCGGACCUUGCGCUUUUGGAGCGGCCGAUGUCGGAUUAGCUAGUUGGUGGGGUAAAGGCCCACCAAGGCGACGAUCCGUAGCGGGGUCUGAGAGGAUGAUCCGCCACACUGGAACUGAGACACGGUCCAGACUCCUACGGGAGGCAGCAGUGGGGAAUUUUGGACAAUGGGCGCAAGCCUGAUCCAGCCAUGCCGCGUGAGUGAAGAAGGCCUUCGGGUUGUAAAGCUCUUUCGGUGGGGAAGAAAUUGCUUGGGUUAAUACCCUGAGUAGAUGACGGUACCCGCAUAAGAAGCACCGGCUAACUACGUG
Molecule: ribosomal RNA, 504 nt
Filed under: uncultured bacterium
Lineage: Bacteria
Description: bacterial SSU rRNA
Rfam family: Bacterial small subunit ribosomal RNA
Source: RNAcentral